AACAGCGCAAAAGCAAGCAGAUUAAGUCUAAAGGAAAUCGCAACACACUUUAAUAUCUUCUUACAAACAACAGAGAAAUGAGAAUUCAUUAAAACAUUUUCCAUCAGAAAUGAGAAUUCAUUAAAACAUUUUCCAUCAGAAAUGAGAAAGGAAAAAUUGAACCUGAAAUUGCUCUCAACAUAUUUGAAUCUCCGACGAUUACACUUCAAUAAGAAUUCCAACGAUUGAACUCGAGAGGAAAACUGAAAUACAAUAGCAACAUAAUUGAACGGGUACGGCGAAUCUGCUCGGAUUGAACCUCGAACAGCGACCUCGAAUCAAGCCCGGAAAUCAAACUUGAACCUCAAACAACGCCCUUUUUUUUUUAAAGAAAAAUUAGAGUUGAAAGAUGAAAUGAGCAUAUUUGUUGUAGGAAUUUUCUGGAACACAAUCCUAGCAAAUUCACGAAUGGAAUAUCAUUUUUGAAAUAUGAAAGAAGAAAAAAAACAAAAUCAUCUCAGAUCUGUUCUUGCGACCUUUUGCCACUGCUUCUCAUGCUACUUCUGCAUGUUUUCGAAGAAAUGAGGGCCAACGGCUGUUCUUGGUUGCUAAAGGAUUUCGCUGGAGGGAGCUAGCCAUUGAAAUGGAGGAUUUCGCCGGUGGAAUUGUGGUUGUUUCAAAGAAUUGUUGCCGGAUUUCCAGCGAGCUGGGUUGGGUCCGGAAAGAGACGGAGACGGGGUUGUUGUUUACCCCGUUGAGAU
This 740-nucleotide long non-coding RNA is filed under the name Nicotiana benthamiana. Its description in RNAcentral is "long non-coding RNA (NBEN_LNC021469)". The record is from RNAcentral. Lineage: Eukaryota; Viridiplantae; Streptophyta; Magnoliopsida; Solanales; Solanaceae.